GGAGAGAUGGCAGAGCGGCCGAUUGCACCGGUCUUGAAAACCGGAGUGCCCUUACGGGUACCCAGGGUUCGAAUCCCUGUCUCUCCGC
RNAcentral lists this transfer RNA (88 nucleotides) under Planctomyces bekefii. RNAcentral describes it as "tRNA-Ser". It matches the Rfam family "tRNA". From Rfam's summary of the family: Transfer RNA (tRNA) molecules are approximately 80 nucleotides in length. Their secondary structure includes four short double-helical elements and three loops (D, anti-codon, and T loops). Further hydrogen bonds mediate the characteristic L-shaped molecular structure. tRNAs have two regions of fundamental functional importance: the anti-codon, which is responsible for specific mRNA codon recognition, and the 3' end, to which the tRNAs corresponding amino acid is attached (by aminoacyl-tRNA synthetases). tRNAs cope with the degeneracy of the genetic code in two manners: having more than one tRNA (with a specific anti-codon) for a particular amino acid; and 'wobble' base-pairing, i.e. permitting non-standard base-pairing at the 3rd anti-codon position. Lineage: Bacteria; Pseudomonadati; Planctomycetota; Planctomycetia; Planctomycetales; Planctomycetaceae. RNAcentral also lists the same sequence under 1 other name. The record is from RNAcentral.